GCCUACCAUGCAAGAUCGAACGGCAGCACAGAAGAGCUUGCUCUUUGGGUGGCGAGUGGCGGACGGGUGAGUAAUGUCUGGGAAACUGCCCGAUGGAGGGGGAUAACUACUGGAAACGGUAGCUAAUACCGCAUAACGUCGCAAGACCAAAGUGGGGGACCUUCGGGCCUCACACCAUCGGAUGUGCCCAGAUGGGAUUAGCUAGUAGGUGGGGUAAUGGCUCACCUAGGCGACGAUCCCUAGCUGGUCUGAGAGGAUGACCAGCCACACUGGAACUGAGACACGGUCCAGACUCCUACGGGAGGCAGCAGUGGGGAAUAUUGCACAAUGGGCGCAAGCCUGAUGCAGCCAUGCCGCGUGUAUGAAGAAGGCCUUCGGGUUGUAAAGUACUUUCAGCGGGGAGGAAGGCGGUGAGGUUAAUAACCUCGCCGAUUGACGUUACCCGCAGAAGAAGCACCGGCUAACUCCGUGCCAGCAGCCGCGGUAAUACGGAGGGUGCAAGCGUUAAUCGGAAUUACUGGGCGUAAAGCGCACGCAGGCGGUCUGUUAAGUCAGAUGUGAAAUCCCCGGGCUUAACCUGGGAACUGCAUUUGAAACUGGCAGGCUUGAGUCUCGUAGAGGGGGGUAGAAUUCCAGGUGUAGCGGUGAAAUGCGUAGAGAUCUGGAGGAAUACCGGUGGCGAAGGCGGCCCCCUGGACGAAGACUGACGCUCAGGUGCGAAAGCGUGGGGAGCAAACAGGAUUAGA
RNAcentral lists this ribosomal RNA (746 nucleotides) under Pantoea dispersa. RNAcentral's name for it is "bacterial SSU rRNA". It matches the Rfam family "Bacterial small subunit ribosomal RNA", at positions 46 to 782 of the family's 1533-position model. Lineage: Bacteria; Pseudomonadati; Pseudomonadota; Gammaproteobacteria; Enterobacterales; Erwiniaceae. The record is from RNAcentral.